GGAUGUGGCUCAGUGGUAAAAUCCUUGCCUAGCAUGCGUGAGGCCCUGGGUUCAAUCCACAGCACCA
RNAcentral lists this transfer RNA (67 nucleotides) under Marmota monax (woodchuck). RNAcentral's name for it is "tRNA.Ala". Lineage: Eukaryota; Metazoa; Chordata; Mammalia; Rodentia; Sciuridae. The record is from RNAcentral.